RNAcentral lists this ribosomal RNA (116 nucleotides) under Microcebus murinus (gray mouse lemur). The record is from RNAcentral. Lineage: Eukaryota; Metazoa; Chordata; Mammalia; Primates; Cheirogaleidae.
GUCCACAGCCAUGCUACCCUGAAUGCGCUGACCUCUUAACCUCAGAAGCUAGGCAGGGUCAGGCCUGGUUAGUACUUGAGUGGGAGACAACCUGGGAAGACUGGGUAUUGUAGGCU